This 497-nucleotide ribosomal RNA is filed under the name uncultured bacterium. RNAcentral's name for it is "partial 16S ribosomal RNA". It matches the Rfam family "Bacterial small subunit ribosomal RNA", at positions 28 to 507 of the family's 1533-position model. The record is from RNAcentral.
GAUGAACGCUGGCGGCGUGCCUAAUACAUGCAAGUCGAGCGAACGGACGAGAAGCUUGCUUUUCUGAUGUUAGCGGCGGACGGGUGAGUAACACGUGGAUAACCUACCUAUAAGACUGGGAUAACUUCGGGAAACCGGAGCUAAUACCGGAUAAUAUUUUGAACCGCAUGGUUCAAAAGUGAAAGACGGUCUUGCUGUCACUUAUAGAUGGAUCCGCGCUGCACUAGCUAGUUGGUAAGGUAACGGCUUACCAAGGCAACGAUGCAUAGCCGACCUGAGAGGGUGAUCGGCCACACUGGAACUGAGACACGGUCCAGACUCCUACGGGAGGCAGCAGUAGGGAAUCUUCCGCAAUGGGCGAAAGCCUGACGGAGCAACGCCGCGUGAGUGAUGAAGGUCUUCGGAUCGUAAAACUCUGUUAUUAGGGAAGAACAUAUGUGUAAGUAACUGUGCACAUCUUGACGGUACCUAAUCAGAAAGCCACGGCUAACUACGUG